This 1422-nucleotide long non-coding RNA is filed under the name Heterocephalus glaber (naked mole-rat). RNAcentral describes it as "lncRNA (ENSHGLG00100043888.1)". The record is from RNAcentral. Lineage: Eukaryota; Metazoa; Chordata; Mammalia; Rodentia; Bathyergidae.
GUCUGCCCUGUCUGGGCCUGGAUGGGCUUGGGGCCAGGCCUUUGUCUGAUUCCUGAUUCCCAUGAGAAUUGGGGCUGCAGUGAAUUAGGUUGCCUCCUCUCCUCAACUUGUGAGCUCCUAUGACCCUUCAGCCAUGAGCUACUAUCUUGGGCCCUUUUUUUGGUUAUGGGGCACAAGAUAGAACCCUGACUGCUUUCUAGGUGGGCUCUGGUCAGGAGGAAGAGCGAUGGAGGUAGUUGGGGGCCAAUAUGAACUGAGUCCUUGAGAUGGUUCUGUUGAUUCUCUAUUUUACUGAUUCUCUGUGGUGAGUGCAUGAUCCCUAUGCUGCAAUGUGGAACCUCUGCCUGAAGCCCCCUACCCCAGUUUUCCUUUUUCCAUGAAAGAGUGUGUGUAAAUACAUUGGUGUUCAUAGAAGACCUGGCUACAUGUGUAUGAGUGACCAGGCUGAAGCUUAGGUGUUGUGGGGAGGGGGGAGGUUGAAGUGGGGCCAAUACCUGCACAACUCCACACCCUGCACCUAGUGAGUGGCUUUUUUUUCUAAAAGGCAACAAAACACUGCCCUCUCUCCAUUGACCCACAACCUUUUUCUAAAUCUGAGUAGAGAGAAGCUCCUAAAGUGAUCUUCUGGGUGGGAAGGGCCCUAUUACGUGUGACCCCAUCCUUCUGUUUAUUUUUGCCACCACUGCCAUGACAUAGAUGCUCUUUCCCUGCCUAGAGUGUAGGUUGAACCUCUUUUCCUUGGCAACCAUUAAAAAUGAACUUCACAACAUUCUAAAUAUUAGAGGACAGCAAAAGGGGUACAGUAACAGGAAAUAUAAGCAGCUUAAAGAUAAGUUGGAUCAGUGACUUUACUCAGGUUGACUCCUCUGCCCUCAAGCAGGAGUCCCCCACCUCAGGUCCAUGGGCUCCCUAAAAUUGUAUGCAAAAUGUUGUCUGUACAUUUGUACAUGUGUGUCUGUAUUUUUCUGGGGGGUGGCUGGUGGGGUAUGGCUUUCAUCAGAUUCUCAAGGCCUUACAACAUUCAAGGACCACUGCCCGGAGGUCACUGCACUCGGGCCAAGCCAAGAAGGUGCCACUCUAUGGCAGCUCCUCCUAGCCUCGCCUUGCUGCCUGUGGCCAGUCCCUGGACUUGUAGCUGCUGAAGGUCCUCCCUCUGUUUCUAUAGUCCAUGGAAGCUGGGUUCUGCAUAUUUGAAGACACUGUCAACUCUCACUCAAUGUCCGGAACUUCCUGCUUUGUAAUUCCCACGUGCUCUAGGCUUCUCCUGCCCGGUCCUGGUCUUGGCCUGUGAAUGUGCCUCUUUCAUCCCUAGUGAGGGACUCCUUCAAGGUCCAGUGAAUGGCCUAGUCCUUUCCAGUUGAAGGUUGCUGCAAGGAUUAAAUGAGAAAACAUGUAAACAAUAAAGCACUAUAUGUACAAGUA